CUAUACAUGACUCUGCGCAUAUCAAUAAGCGGAGGAAAAGAAACUAACGAGGAUUCCCCUAGUAACGGCGAGUGAAGCGGGAAGAGCUCAAAUUUGAAAUCCUAAAGGGUUUCCCUUUACGAAUUGUAGUUUAAAGAAGUGUUUUCUGUUGAGGUUUUGGUAAAAGUUCUUUGGAAUAGGACAUCAUAGAGGGUGAGAAUCCCGUAUUUGACCUUUACUUUCAACUUUGUGAUACACUUUCAAAGAGUCGGAUUGUUUGGGAAUGCAGUCCAAAAUGGGUGGUAAAUUUCAUCUAAAGCUAAAUAUUGGCGAGAGACCGAUAGCGAACAAGUACCGUGAGGGAAAGAUGAAAAGAACUUUGAAAAGAGAGUUAAACAGUACGUGAAAUUGUCAAAAGGGAAGCGUUUGACACCAGUGUUGUUUUUCUGAAAAUCAAUUAAAGAACUGUUUAUGCUAAGCUGUUUAGACUUUAUCAGCUAUCUGUUUAGUUUUGAGCUUUUCUUUAAUGCACUUUUCAGUUAACAAGUCAACAUCAAUUUCUUUUGCUGUAAAAAAGCUUGAGGAAGGUGGCUUGAGAUUCGUCUUAAGUGUUUAUAGCCUCUUGCCUAUGCAGUCGGAGAGAUUGAGGUCUGCAGCGUAGAUCCUUCGGGGCUAAAUGCAUUUGUGCUAAGUUAUAGCAUUUUAUAGACAACUUGUUGACUAUGAUUUGUCUUGUAGCUUACUCGCUUAUGUUAUUUUACCUACGCUUAGGAUGUUGAUCUACAGAGCGAGAGU
Molecule: ribosomal RNA, 774 nt
Filed under: uncultured Neocallimastigales
Lineage: Eukaryota; Fungi; Neocallimastigomycota; Neocallimastigomycetes; Neocallimastigales
Description: partial large subunit ribosomal RNA
Rfam family: Eukaryotic large subunit ribosomal RNA
Source: RNAcentral